CCCACGGCUUACGCCGUGGGCUACUGUCUGUCUUUCGCCCCUCCGGGGCU
Molecule: small RNA, 50 nt
Filed under: Planctomycetaceae bacterium SCGC AG-212-F19
Lineage: Bacteria; Pseudomonadati; Planctomycetota; Planctomycetia; Planctomycetales; Planctomycetaceae
Description: Acido-Lenti-1 RNA
Rfam family: Acido-Lenti-1 RNA
Source: Rfam by way of RNAcentral